CAGCCGCCGCGGUAAUACGUAGGGGGCAAGCGUUAUCCGGAAUUACUGGGUGUAAAGGGAGCGUAGACGGUUAAACAAGUCUGAAGUGAAAUGCCGGGGCUCAACCCCGGAGCUGCUUUGGGAACUGUAGAACUGGAGUGUCGGAGGGGUAAGCGGAAUUCCCAGUGUAGCGGUGAAAUGCGUAGAUAUUGGGAGGAACACCGGCGGCGAAGGCGGCUUACUGGACGACAACUGACGUUGAGGCUCGAAGGCGUGGGUAGCAAACAGGAUUAGAUACCCCCGUAGUCCCUGUAUCUUAUAC
RNAcentral lists this ribosomal RNA (301 nucleotides) under uncultured bacterium. RNAcentral describes it as "partial 16S ribosomal RNA". It matches the Rfam family "Bacterial small subunit ribosomal RNA", at positions 509 to 807 of the family's 1533-position model. The record is from RNAcentral.